GUAAACGGCGGCCGUAACUAUAACGGUCCUAAGGUAGCGAAAUUCCUUGUCGGGUAAGUUCCGACCUGCACGAAUGGCGUAAUGAUGGCCACGCUGUCUCCACCCGAGACUCAGUGAAAUUGAAAUCGCUGUGAAGAUGCAGUGUACCCGCGGCUAGACGGAAAGACCCCGUGAACCUUUACUACAGCUUGGCACUGAACAUUGAACCUACAUGUGUAGGAUAGGUGGGAGGCUAUGAAGACGUGACGCCAGUUGCGUUGGAGCCGUCCUUGAAAUACCACCCUUGUAUGUUUGAUGUUCUAACUUAGACCCAUUAUCUGGGUUGAGGACAGUGCCUGGUGGGUAGUUUGACUGGGGCGGUCUCCUCCCAAAGAGUAACGGAGGAGCACGAAGGUGGGCUAAUCACGGUUGGACAUCGUGAGGUUAGUGCAAUGGCAUAAGCCCGCUUAACUGCGAGAAUGACGGUUCGAGCAGGUGCGAAAGCAGGUCAUAGUGAUCCGGUGGUUCUGUAUGGAAGGGCCAUCGCUCAACGGAUAAAAGGUACUCCGGGGAUAACAGGCUGAUACCGCCCAAGAGUUCAUAUCGACGGCGGUGUUUGGCACCUCGAUGUCGGCUCAUCACAUCCUGGGGCUGAAGUCGGUCCCAAGGGUAUGGCUGUUCGCCAUUUAAAGUGGUACGCGAGCUGGGUU
Molecule: ribosomal RNA, 689 nt
Filed under: Vibrio cholerae
Lineage: Bacteria; Pseudomonadati; Pseudomonadota; Gammaproteobacteria; Vibrionales; Vibrionaceae
Description: bacterial LSU rRNA
Rfam family: Bacterial large subunit ribosomal RNA
Source: RNAcentral